CCAUGCAGUCGACGGUGAAGCAGAGCUUGCUCUGUGGAUCAGUGGCGAACGGGUGAGUAACACGUGAGCAACCUGCCCCUGACUCUGGGAUAAGCGCUGGAAACGGCGUCUAAUACUGGAUAUGUGACGUGACCGCAUGGUCUGCGUCUGGAAAGAAUUUCGGUUGGGGAUGGGCUCGCGGCCUAUCAGCUUGUUGGUGAGGUAAUGGCUCACCAAGGCGUCGACGGGUAGCCGGCCUGAGAGGGUGACCGGCCACACUGGGACUGAGACACGGCCCAGACUCCUACGGGAGGCAGCAGUGGGGAAUAUUGCACAAUGGGCGGAAGCCUGAUGCAGCAACGCCGCGUGAGGGAUGACGGCCUUCGGGUUGUAAACCUCUUUUAGCAGGGAAGAAGCGAAAGUGACGGUACCUGCAGAAAAAGCGCCGGCUAACUACGUGCCAGCAGCCGCGGUAAUACGUAGGGCGCAAGCGUUAUCCGGAAUUAUUGGGCGUAAAGAGCUCGUAGGCGGUUUGUCGCGUCUGCUGUGAAAUCCGGAGGCUCAACCUCCGGCCUGCAGUGGGUACGGGCAGACUAGAGUGCGGUAGG
Molecule: ribosomal RNA, 587 nt
Filed under: Microbacterium maritypicum
Lineage: Bacteria; Bacillati; Actinomycetota; Actinomycetes; Micrococcales; Microbacteriaceae
Description: bacterial SSU rRNA
Rfam family: Bacterial small subunit ribosomal RNA
Source: RNAcentral